GACGAACGCUGGCGGCGUGCUUAACACAUGCAAGUCGAGCGAUGAAGUUUCUUCGGAAAUGGAUUAGCGGCGAACGGGUGCGGAACACGUGAAGAAUCUGCCCUCCACUUUGGGAUAACACAGGGAAACCUGUGCUAAUACCGAAUAUUGAAACAUAAGUGGCAUCACUGAGUUUUGAAAGAAUUUGGGUGGAGGAUGACUUCGCGGCCUAUCAGCUAGUUGGUGAGGGAAUGGCUAACCAAGGCAACGACGGGUAGCCGGCCUGAGAGGGCGAACGGCCACACUGGGACGGAGACACGGCCCAGACUCCUACGGGAGGCAGCAGUGGGGAAUAUUGGGCAAUGGAGGAAACUCUGACCCAGCGACGCCGCGUGCGGGAUGAAGGCCUUCGGGUUGUAAACCGCUUUCAGUAGGGAAGAAGCGAAAGUGACGGUACCUACAAAAGAAGCACCGGCUAACUAUGUGCCAGCCGCCGCGGUAA
This 481-nucleotide ribosomal RNA is filed under the name uncultured bacterium. Its description in RNAcentral is "partial 16S ribosomal RNA". It matches the Rfam family "Bacterial small subunit ribosomal RNA", at positions 28 to 523 of the family's 1533-position model. The record is from RNAcentral.